Molecule: ribosomal RNA, 468 nt
Filed under: uncultured bacterium
Lineage: Bacteria
Description: partial 16S ribosomal RNA
Rfam family: Bacterial small subunit ribosomal RNA
Source: RNAcentral
GAUGAACGCUGACAGAAUGCUUAACACAUGCGAGUCAACUUGAAUUUGGGUUUUUUAACUUAGAUUUGGGUGGCGGACGGGUGAGUAACGCGUAAAGAACUUGCCUCACAGCUAGGGACAACAUUUGGAAACGAAUGCUAAUACCUGAUAUUAUGAUUAUAAGGCAUCUUAGAAUUAUGAAAGCUAUAUGCGCUGUGAGAGAGCUUUGCGUCCCAUUAGCUAGUUGGAGAGGUAACGGCUCACCAAGGCGAUGAUGGGUAGCCGGCCUGAGAGGGUGAACGGCCACAAGGGGACUGAGACACGGCCCUUACUCCUACGGGAGGCAGCAGUGGGGAAUAUUGGACAAUGGACCAAGAGUCUGAUCCAGCAAUUCUGUGUGCACGAUGACGUUUUUCGGAAUGUAAAGUGCUUUCAGUUGGGAAGAAAAAAAUGACGGUACCAACAGAAGAAGUGACGGCUAAAUACGUG